Molecule: ribosomal RNA, 403 nt
Filed under: Fusobacteriota bacterium
Lineage: Bacteria; Fusobacteriati; Fusobacteriota
Description: Fusobacteria bacterium partial 16S ribosomal RNA
Rfam family: Bacterial small subunit ribosomal RNA
Source: RNAcentral
UGGGGAAUCUUGCACAAUGGGGGAAACCCUGAUGCAGCGACGCCGCGUGAGCGAUGAAGGUUUUCGAAUCGUAAAGCUCUGUCCUAUGGGAAGAUAAUGACGGUACCAUGGGAGGAAGCCCCGGCUAACUACGUGCCAGCAGCCGCGGUAAUACGUAGGGGGCGAGCGUUGUCCGGAAUUACUGGGCGUAAAGGGUUCGCAGGCGGCAUGGCAAGUCCGAUGUAAAAGGCGAAGGCUCAACCUUCGUAAGCAUCGGAAACUGUCAAGCUUGAGUGAAGGAGAGGCAAGUGGAAUUCCUGGUGUAGCGGUGGAAUGCGUAGAUAUUAGGAGGAAUACCGGUGGCGAAGGCGACUUGCUGGACUUCAACUGACGCUGAGGAACGAAAGCGUGGGUAGCAAACAGG